UUUUAAUCAUAAAUUAGGCCCUUGGUUUUCUCGUUUAAAUUGUUUUACAUUUUUCAUUUCGGACCCUUAUAUAGCUGACUGUAGCAUGGGUUUCGAUCAUCGUUAAAGGCUGUACGGUGACAUAUAGUUGUUAACAUGUAUACUUCAUUUUGUUUCUGGUGGAGAGUUGUUUUAUUGGCAAUUAUACCAUAUCUUCUUUAUAUAUAUAUAUAUUUAUCUUAUACAUGUAGCUAGCUAUAUGUUGUAUUUUUCAUGUAUUUUAUCUUAUUACACGAAUUUCUUUAUUUGAUCUCGCCACCCGAAGUAUAUGAACAAGGAUAUUGCUAAUUUUCCAUUUUCGUACGAUGGUGUUUCUAGGGCACUGUCUUGCGGUGUUUAUAUAUCGUAUUACAUUAGUUCGCUAUGCCCAUGUUUGUUGUGACGUUUUAGAUUUCAAUGAACGGACUCUAUGUAUUACUAU
Molecule: long non-coding RNA, 460 nt
Filed under: Mytilus galloprovincialis (Mediterranean mussel)
Lineage: Eukaryota; Metazoa; Mollusca; Bivalvia; Mytilida; Mytilidae
Source: RNAcentral